AAUAUUGCGCAAUGGGCGAAAGCCUGACGCAGCGACGCCGCGUGGGGGAUGAAGGCCUUCGGGUUGUAAACCCCUUUCAGGAGGGAAGAAAUUGACGGUACCUCCAAAAGAAGCCCCGGCCAACUACGUGCCAGCAGCCGCGGUAAGACGUAGGGGGCGAGCGUUGUCCGGAAUCAUUGGGCGUAAAGGGCUCGUAGGCGGCUCGGUAAGUCAAUCGUGAAAUCCCGGAGCUCAACUCCGGAACUGCGGUCGGUACUGCCGUGGCUAGAGUCAGGUAGAGGAGAGUAGAAUUCCCGGUGUAGCGGUGGAAUGCGCAGAUAUCGGGAGGAAUACCAUUUAGCGAAGGCGGCUCUCUGGGCCUGUACUGACGCUGAGGAGCGAAAGCGUGGGUAGCAAACAGGAUUAGAUACCCUGGUAGUCCACGCCGUA
Molecule: ribosomal RNA, 429 nt
Filed under: uncultured marine bacterium
Lineage: Bacteria
Description: bacterial SSU rRNA
Rfam family: Bacterial small subunit ribosomal RNA
Source: RNAcentral